CCUACGGGAGGCAGCAGUGAGGAAUAUUGGUCAAUGGGCUGACGCCUGAACCAGCCAAGUCGCGUGAGGGAAGACUGCCCGAUGGGUUGUAAACCGCUUUUGUCAGGGAGCAACGCCGGCUACGUGUAGCCGGACGGAGAGGACCUGAAGAAAAAGCAUCGGCUAACUCGGUGCCAGCAGCCGCGGUAAUACGGAGGAUGCGAGCGUGAUCCGGAUUGCGUGGGUUUAAAGGGUGCGUAGGCGGAAUGCCAAGUCAGCGGUAAAAUCGCGGGGCUAAACCUCGCUCCGCCGUUGCAACUGGCGUUCUUGAGUGGGCGAGACGUAUGCGGAAUGCGUGGUGUAGCGGU
Molecule: ribosomal RNA, 347 nt
Filed under: uncultured bacterium
Lineage: Bacteria
Description: partial 16S ribosomal RNA
Rfam family: Bacterial small subunit ribosomal RNA
Source: RNAcentral